UACGUAGGGACCGAGCGUUGUCCGGAAUCAUUGGGCGUAAAGAGCGUGUAGGCGGCCAACUAAGUCCUGCGUGAAAUCUCGGGGCUCAACCCCGAGCGGUCGUGGGAAACUGGUUGGCUAGAGUGCGGGAGAGGAGAGUGGAAUUCCUGGUGUAGCGGUGAAAUGCGCAGAUAUCAGGAAGAACACGCGUGGCAAAGGCGGCGCUGUGGAACGCAACUGACGCUGAGACGCGAAAGCGUGGGGAGCAAACAGG
RNAcentral lists this ribosomal RNA (253 nucleotides) under uncultured bacterium. RNAcentral describes it as "partial 16S ribosomal RNA". It matches the Rfam family "Bacterial small subunit ribosomal RNA", at positions 524 to 776 of the family's 1533-position model. The record is from RNAcentral.